RNAcentral lists this ribosomal RNA (250 nucleotides) under uncultured bacterium. RNAcentral's name for it is "partial 16S ribosomal RNA". It matches the Rfam family "Bacterial small subunit ribosomal RNA", at positions 524 to 771 of the family's 1533-position model. The record is from RNAcentral.
UACGAAGGGGGCUAGCGUUGUUCGGAAUUACUGGGCGUAAAGCGCGCGCAGGCGGUUUUUCAAGUCGGUGGUGAAAUCCUGGAGCUCAACUCCAGAACUGCCUUCGAUACUGGGAGUCUCGAGUCCGGGAGAGGUGAGUGGAACUGCGAGUGUAGAGGUGAAAUUCGUAGAUUAUUCGCAAGAACACCAGUGGCGAAGGCGGCUCACUGGCCCGGUACUGACGCUGAGGUGCGGAAAGCGUGGGGAGCAA